CUGGCGAAUAAAUCAAUCUUAUCCAUUCCAUGACAAGACCGUUUUAUAUAUAAUCAAUAUUAGCACGUAAGUGUCAUUGUCCAGCGGAUGGAUUCUGCUUUGAUUCAAAUACAAACUGCUUUGAUUCAAAUACAAAUGAUUGUUACUGUUUUCCUAUUUGUCAAGUUUAACAUGAAUCGUGCGCAAUCUCACUUUUCUACAGUAAACCCUGA
RNAcentral lists this long non-coding RNA (212 nucleotides) under Mytilus galloprovincialis (Mediterranean mussel). Lineage: Eukaryota; Metazoa; Mollusca; Bivalvia; Mytilida; Mytilidae. The record is from RNAcentral.